AUUGAACGCUGGUGGCAGGCCUAACACAUGCAAGUCGAACGCGUGGCGGACGGGUGAGUAAUGUCUGGGAAACUGCCAGAUGGAGGGGGAUAACUACUGGAAACGGUAGCUAAUACCGCAUACCAUCAGAUGUGCCAAGAUGGGAUUAGCUUGUUGGUGGGGUAACGGCUCACCAAGGCCACGAUCCCUAGCUGGUCUGAGAGGUUGGACAGCCACACUGGAACUGAGACACGGUCCAGACUCCUACGGGAGGCAGCAGUGGGGAAUAUUGCACAAUGGGCGCAAGCCUGAUGCAGCCAUGCCGCGUGGAUGAAGAAGGCCUUCGGGUUGUAAAGUACUUUCAGCGGGGAGGCGUUACCCGCAGAAGAAGCACCGGCUAACUCCGUGCCAGCAGCCGCGGUAAUAC
Molecule: ribosomal RNA, 406 nt
Filed under: uncultured bacterium
Lineage: Bacteria
Description: partial 16S ribosomal RNA
Rfam family: Bacterial small subunit ribosomal RNA
Source: RNAcentral